This 381-nucleotide long non-coding RNA is filed under the name Microcebus murinus (gray mouse lemur). RNAcentral describes it as "lncRNA (ENSMICG00000048598.1)". The record is from RNAcentral. Lineage: Eukaryota; Metazoa; Chordata; Mammalia; Primates; Cheirogaleidae.
AUCAGCACUACUGGUACACUACCAGACUAGGGCCAGUAACCCAGCUUUCUGAGCUGCCACUGAACCAUUUCUUUUUAAAUUGCAACAGGACCUGGCACUUCUGAUUUUACUGCUCAAGACCAUAUCCAAACAAGUGUCUGCUAUAAGAGGCUUCCAUUCUGGAAAAAAGGUGCUGCAAUUCCAGUCUUUGCUGGAAGUUUAAGGCUGUUUACCCUUCCUUAAGAAGACAAGAAACAAGAGGGCUGCUGUAAAGAAGACCAGUGAGGAAAGACAUAAGCAUUCAAUCUAAUGGCACUCCCAGGACAAGUCCCUUAUGAACACUCCUGUAGGAUUUUGUUCGUACCUCUUGUGGAGCAUGUACAACAUAUGAAGAUCUACAUG